CGGCGUGGACUUCGAAGCCUGGGGAGCUGGGGCCUCCCGGGUCCGGCCGCAGGUGGCAGGAGGCGAGAGGUCACGCUCCCCUCGGGCCCGGUGCCAACUGCUCAACAUCCCCACAUGGCCCGGGGUGAGGGCUGCGCUGGGGCCGCUCGGUACCAAAUUCCCACGAAACGGAUCCAACUUACAAAGGUCGGAGAAUGCGGCCUAACGCGCGCCCCCGACUCACCUUUGCCCGAAUUCCACUUGUUCUGAGGACCGGAAUGAGGAAACCAUGAGAGAAGAAUAAACACCAGCAGGAGCACUGCACCCUGCUCUCUCCCGGCAGCACUUGGCACAGGAUUCCAGAACCUCCUUAGGUUGUCAAACGCUGCAAGGAAAACCCCUGCAGAUUUCGAUUUAUAAGUCCUCGCUGUACGCUCUGAAAAGAAUAUGUAUUCUUCGAGAAACACAAAGGCAGUAUUUGAAACGCACGGCUAACCAGAAAGAAAGCCUAUUGUUUCUCCUUCAAAGGAAAGAAGCCUCAGUAAUAGUGAAAGGGCCCUAGUGCCAUACAGUUAAACAGAAAUACACUCAUAGUGGCAGUACACGGAAAUGCCAAAAAGCAAAACCUGCCUUAACGCCAUCAAGUUCCUUUCAUGAAAUGUGCACUUUUAAAAAAUUUGUAAACAAAUAGAUGGGUGAGAAAAGAGGAAAUGAAAUUUCUUCUUUUAUGGAGUUAUUCUUUUGGUUUCUAAUCUUCUCAUGAAAUGAAAUGGAUUUCAAUAUGUGUGAGCCCAAAAAUACGUUAAUGGACUUUACCUGCAUUAAGCCUCUCAGGCUAAUAGUCUUGAUUAGGAUAAAAACAUAAAAUAAUAACAUCAUGAAAAGAAAGUCAGUUAUGAUUUCCCGUCUCAGUUAAGAAAACUAUCCUGUCAUCAUAACUUGGUGAAUAUAAUAUGGAAUUGAGCCAGCAUAUUUUAAUAUGUUCUUCUGUGCCAUCAGUGUUUAGAAUGACUGAGUAAAUGUAAUUUCUGCAACAGGGAGUUAAAGCCAUGGGCUGAUUAGUGUCUACCCUGGGCCUGACGCAGGAACUCCAUCAUGUUGGAGUGGGUGCUGGGUUACCUGGUGUGAUGGUAUCUGUACCUAGAAAAGCCCAGGCAAGUCCUUGAUAUCAGAGUUUGAGCCAGUCAUGGAGUAGUUUUCACUACACUAACCUUUGACACACACAAACAUUUAUACUUUGGACAAAUAUUAAAUAUUAUCUAAAGGUAAUGGAGAGUGACCAAAGCAUGCAGAAACUGGAGGGGAGUUCACUCUGGUGAGAAGGGAAUCAUAGUCUUAACUCUUUUCAGCUUAGGACAGACCCCCAGGCAGUGCCACUGAGAGCAAUGAAAACUCAUGGAAACCUCAAGUGUUACUAGCGGAGGAAUCGGAGGACAGAGUGACCAAAGAACCUGGAAAGGGAGGAGGAAUUGCUGAAAAGGGGAGACCUAGAGGGCGGCCACACUGCCCCAAUCUCCGGCUGAUCUCUGAACCCCACAGCCUUGGGGCAGACUCCAAGCAGCUCGGCCUAAACAGAGAGCUGCGUAGAGAUUUCCUUUUGCCCACCGUAGGGGAGACAGGAUUUAGAGCGUGAGCUCAACCAAGUUAACUGCCUGUUACACAAACAAACAAUUAUUCAGAGGAACAAAACAGAGUCCACUGGCAAUAUAAUCCAUUAUUUAUAAUGUCCAGAAUACAAUCUAAUUACCAGACAUAUGAAGAAACAUACUCAAAAGAAAAGGCAAUCAGUGGAGAACAAUCCCCAGAUGACCCGGAUGUUGGAGUUCGUGGACAAGGAUUUAAAAAUUCUCUUUAUUGUUGGAAGUUAUACAGAUGCACUCUUGUCCCUCCAUUGACACCUUUUGGCCUGCUCCCCACUCCCUCCUCCCCCGGACCCAGGCCUUUAUCACACUAUGUGUCAUGGAUUAUGCCAUAUAAACUUAAGUCAUAUAAAUUCUUUGGCUAAUCUCUUCCCAUCCACCCCCCCACCCCCCCACCCCCCCACCAACCACCACAAUCCCUCUGAGAUUCAUCUGUCUAUUCCAUGCUUCUGUGUCUCUGGAUCUAUUUUGUUCAUCAGUUCAUUUGUCCUUUAGAUUCCACAUAUGAGUGAGAUCAUGUGAUACUUGUCUUUUUCUUUGGUUAGUGCUUUUAUUGUAGAUAACCUUUUAAAUAAUUAUAGUUGACAUACAAUAUUUCAUUAGUUUCAGGUGUACAGCAUAGUGAUUCUAUUAUUUUUAUACAUUACAAAAUGACCACCAUGAUGUGCAGUUACCAUGUCACCAUAUGAAGUUAUUAUAUUAUUGACUAUAUUCCUUCUACUGUACAUUACAUCCUUGUGACUUAUUUAUAACUGGAAUUUUGUACCUUUUAUUACCCUUCACCCAUUUCACCUGUCCUCCCUCCCCUGUUCCCUCUGGCAACCACCAGCCUGUUCUCUGUAUCUAUGAUCUGUUUGCUUUGUGUUUUAGAUACCACAUGUAAGUGAAAUCAUGCGAUAUUUGUCUUUCUCUGUA
Myotis daubentonii (Daubenton's bat) is the source of this 2534-nucleotide long non-coding RNA. RefSeq lists it as uncharacterized. NCBI's taxonomy places the organism in Eukaryota, Metazoa, Chordata, Mammalia, Chiroptera, Vespertilionidae. The record is from RefSeq and is a predicted model, not a curated record.